UACAGAGGGUGCGAGCGUUAAUCGGAAUUACUGGGCGUAAAGCGUGCGUAGACGGUUAUUUAAGUCGGGUGUGAAAGCCCCGGGCUCAACCUGGGAAUUGCAUUCGAGACUGAAUAGCUAGGGUACGGUAGAGGGAAGUGGAAUUUCCGGUGUAGCGGUGAAAUGCGUAGAUAUCAGGAGGAACACCGAUGGCGAAGGCAGCCCCCUGGGCUAGCACUGACGCUCAGGCACGAAAGCGUGGGGAGCAAACAGG
This 253-nucleotide ribosomal RNA is filed under the name uncultured bacterium. RNAcentral describes it as "partial 16S ribosomal RNA". It matches the Rfam family "Bacterial small subunit ribosomal RNA", at positions 524 to 776 of the family's 1533-position model. The record is from RNAcentral.